GCGGUGGAGCAUGUGGUUUAAUUCGAAGCAACGCGCAGAACCUUACCAGCCCUUGACAUACCGGUCGCGGACACAGAGAUGUGUCUUUCAGUUCGGCUGGACCGGAUACAGGUGCUGCAUGGCUGUCGUCAGCUCGUGUCGUGAGAUGUGGGUUAAGUCCCGCAACGAGCGCAACCCUCGCCCUUAGUUGCCAGCAUUUAGUUGGGCACUCUAAGGGGACUGCCGGUGAUAAGCCGAGAGGAAGGUGGGGAUGACGUCAAGUCCUCAUGGCCCUUACGGGCUGGGCUACACACGUGCUACAAUGGUGGUGACAGUGGGCAGCGAGCACGCGAGUGUGAGCUAAUCUCCAAAAGCCAUCUCAGUUCGGAUUGCACUCUGCAACUCGAGUGCAUGAAGUUGGAAUCGCUAGUAAUCGUGAAUCAGAAUGUCACGGUGAAUACGUUCCCGGGCCUU
This 453-nucleotide ribosomal RNA is filed under the name uncultured Ochrobactrum sp. RNAcentral's name for it is "bacterial SSU rRNA". It matches the Rfam family "Bacterial small subunit ribosomal RNA", at positions 929 to 1382 of the family's 1533-position model. The record is from RNAcentral. Lineage: Bacteria; Pseudomonadati; Pseudomonadota; Alphaproteobacteria; Hyphomicrobiales; Brucellaceae.